Molecule: long non-coding RNA, 529 nt
Organism: Dama dama (fallow deer)
Lineage: Eukaryota; Metazoa; Chordata; Mammalia; Artiodactyla; Cervidae
Exons: 3
Source: RefSeq, a predicted model, not a curated record
CAGUACCCUCCCCAGUUCCUCUAUCAUUUAAUACAGCACCCAGUGAGGUUUUUGGAGAUGAGAGUUUGGGGAGAGAGAAGGGGGCCUAUGCCUUUGCUGUUUACUAUUGGAAUUCCCCGGAAGGACUCUCAGUUUACGCUUCACCAGUAAGUAGUGUCAGUCAGGAGACAUUCUGCAGAAAGAAAACCAGGUCUCCGAGAACUCAUUCUGCUCAACAGCAGUGUUUCGACUCAGAACUCCGAGGCUGGAACUGUAUCCUGCCAGGCUCCUCUAUCCAAGGAAUUUUCCAGGCAAGAAUACUAGAGUGGGUCACCAUUUCCUUCUCCUGACCCAGAGAUCAAACCUGAAUCUCUUGCAUCAGCUGCAUUGACAGGUGGAUUCUUUACCUGCUGAGCCAAAUGAACAAGAAAAACUUGAAGACUCAAUAGAUGAAUGGCAAAAGAUCAUGAAGAAGAAAUGCAUUCACAGAGAUGAAAUACUAAUGAGUAAUAAAGUUAUAAAAAUAUUCAAGUUGUUUAGUAAUCAUAUA